CCUACGGGUGGCAGCAGUGAGGAAUAUUGGUCAAUGGGCGCGAGCCUGAACCAGCCAAGUAGCGUGAAGGAUGACUGCCCUACGGGUUUUAAACUUUUUUUAUAAAGAAAUAAAUUGAGGCAUGUGUGCCUUUUUGUAUGUACUUUAUGAAUAAGGCUCGGCUAACUCCGUGCCAGCAGCCGCGGUAAUACGGAGGGUCCGAGCGUUAUCCGGAUUUAUUGGGUUUAAAGGGAGCGUAGAUGGGUUAGUAAGUCAGUUGUGAAAGUUUGCGUCUCAACCGUAAAAUUGCAAUUGAUACUGGCAGUCGUGAGUACAGUUGAGGUAGGUGGAAUUCGUGGUGUAGCGGUAAAAUGCUUAGAUAUCAAGAAGAACUCCGAUUGCGAAGGCAGCUUACUAAA
RNAcentral lists this ribosomal RNA (398 nucleotides) under uncultured bacterium. Its description in RNAcentral is "partial 16S ribosomal RNA". It matches the Rfam family "Bacterial small subunit ribosomal RNA", at positions 338 to 733 of the family's 1533-position model. The record is from RNAcentral.